This 74-nucleotide transfer RNA is filed under the name Cucurbita maxima (winter squash). It matches the Rfam family "tRNA". Rfam says of the family: Transfer RNA (tRNA) molecules are approximately 80 nucleotides in length. Lineage: Eukaryota; Viridiplantae; Streptophyta; Magnoliopsida; Cucurbitales; Cucurbitaceae. RNAcentral also lists the same sequence under 17 other names. The record is from Rfam by way of RNAcentral.
GUCUGGGUGGUGUAGUUGGUUAUCACGCUAGUCUCACACACUAGAGGUCCCCAGUUCGAACCUGGGCUCAGACA